This 580-nucleotide ribosomal RNA is filed under the name uncultured bacterium. RNAcentral's name for it is "bacterial SSU rRNA". It matches the Rfam family "Bacterial small subunit ribosomal RNA", at positions 32 to 640 of the family's 1533-position model. The record is from RNAcentral.
AACGCUGGCGGCGUGCUUAACACAUGCAAGUCGAGCGGGCCUCUUCGGGGGCUAGCGGCGAACGGGUGAGUAACACGUGAGCAACCUGCCUUCUGCUCUGGGAUAGCCUCCGGAAACGGGGAUUAAUACCGGAUAUGACCUGGGUCUGCAUGGGCCUGGGUGGAAAGUUUUUUCGGCGGGAGAGGGGCUCGCGGCCUAUCAGCUUGUUGGGGGGGUGACGGCCCACCAAGGCGACGACGGGUAGCCGGCCUGAGAGGGCGACCGGCCACACUGGGACUGAGACACGGCCCAGACUCCUACGGGAGGCAGCAGUGGGGAAUAUUGCGCAAUGGGCGGAAGCCUGACGCAGCGACGCCGCGUGGGGGAUGAAGGCCUUCGGGUUGUAAACCUCUUUCGGCAGGGGCGAAUGUGACGGUACCUGCAGAAGAAGCGCCGGCUAACUACGUGCCAGCAGCCGCGGUAAUACGUAGGGCGCGAGCGUUGUCCGGAUUUAUUGGGCGUAAAGAGCUCGUAGGCGGCUUGUUGCGUCUGCUGUGAAAUCCCGGGGCUUAACCCCGGGCGUGCAGUGGAUACGGGCAGG